UAUUAUGCAUCCAGUCCCUUGCUGUCCAUAUCGGACAAAAACUUUUGAAAAGAAAUCUGAUCAGAUUCAGAUUUAACUGCUUCGUCUUGGUUGAGUCCCAUGCCAUCCCUAUAAAUAGAGAGUCGAGGGAUGCCAUUCUGCACCCAUCCACUCUUCCUCCAGCAAUUGUGAAGCAAUUUGUAUUCACAAUGAAGCAAGCUUCCUUCUCCGUCCUCUUUCUUGCCGCUCUCUUGCUGCUCUCUGUAGCUUCGGCAGAUGUGGUAGAAAAACAAAACGAAAAGCAAGCGACAGGCGAUCUUCUUUGUGGAGUCAGUUGCCACAAUGGUCGAUGCUGCGGAUAUGGUGAGAGCUGCUGCUCCGGCACUGGAUGCUGCCGAUCAGGUCAGAGAUGCUGCGGCCAUCUUCUUUGCUGCAAUGUUGAGGAGUAUACUGCGUUCGUGAAUGCUCACGCUGUCCCUAGCAGGAUAGCAUCCAUUGCAAACUGAAACCUUCUCAUUUCUAAUCUGUUAUCGUCUUCAUCAUGAUGAUAGCAGUACUUAUGGUGCAUCUAAAUAAUAAAAGGAGCAUGCUUAUUGUCAGAUAGGACAGCUAGCAUGCAGGGUGCGCCUUUCCUAGUCCUUGUUGUUGUUAGCAACAAGCAGUAUUUGCGUCUAUCGUGUUUCCUUGCGCUAUGAAAUAAAAUAUGUUCUAUGUUUGAUUA
This is a long non-coding RNA of Nymphaea colorata (pocket water lily), 700 nucleotides long. RefSeq lists it as uncharacterized. Lineage: Eukaryota; Viridiplantae; Streptophyta; Magnoliopsida; Nymphaeales; Nymphaeaceae. The record is from RefSeq and is a predicted model, not a curated record. The transcript has 2 exons.